This 726-nucleotide ribosomal RNA is filed under the name Triticum aestivum (bread wheat). Its description in RNAcentral is "partial small subunit ribosomal RNA". The record is from RNAcentral. Lineage: Eukaryota; Viridiplantae; Streptophyta; Magnoliopsida; Poales; Poaceae.
AUGGCAACCACUGCAAACAGCCGUUGGCGUGGGCAUCCCGUUGUCUCCGUCGUAGUCUACGACACCGUCAAUAAGCUCGCGCAAUCACCCUCCGGCGCGGUCCGCCGCAUCGUCUCCGGCCUCAUCUACGACACCAUCGGCGAGCUCAUACAAACGCCCCCCGGCGCGGUCCGCCGCAUCGUCUCCGGCCUCAUCUACGACACCAUCGGCGAGCUCAUACAAACGCCCCCCGGCGCGGUCCGCCGCAUCGUCUCCGGCCUCAUCUACGACACCAUCGGCGAGCUCAUACAAACGCCCCCCAGCGCGGUCCGCCGCAUCGUCUCCGGCCUCAUCUACGACACCAUCGGCGAGCUCAUACAAACGCCCCCCGGCGCGGUCCGCCGCAUCGUCUCCGGCCUCAUCUACCACGCCGUCGGCGAGCUCAUCCAAACGCCCUCCGGCGCGGUCCGCCGCGUCGCCUCCGGCCUCGUCUACGACGCCGUCGGCGAGCUCGUCCAAACACCCUCCGGCGCGGUCCGCCGCGCCGUCGAGCACGUACAAACAGCCACUUGCGCGGUCCAUCGCGUCGUCCCCGGCCUGUCUGCGACGUCCUCGCGCGCGGCCACCUCCUCUAGCCGGUGUCAAUGGCUCUACGGUUGGGUUUGCCUUCGUCACGCAUGCAUGCAGGCUCACGCAUAUCCCACUUGCAUGCACGUUGAGGAGGUGAAAGGAAAUUGCUUUGAUUGA